GACGAACGCUGGCGGCGUGCCUAACACAUGCAAGUCAAGGGCGGUUUGUAGCAAUAUGAGUCGCACUGGCGUAAGGGUGAGUAACACGUAGGUAAUCUGCCCCUAUCACCGUAAUAACAGUUCUAACGGGCUGCUAAUGGCGGAUGAGGCGAGAGAUCGUCAAAGCGCGAGAGCGCGGAUAGGGAUGAGCCUGCGUCCGAUUAGGUAGUUGGUAGGGUAACGGCCUACCAAGCCGACGAUCGGUAGCUGGUCUGAGAGGACGAACAGCCACACUGGAACUGAGACACGGUCCAGACUCCUACGGGAGGCAGCAGUGAGGAAUAUUGGUCAAUGGACGCAAGUCUGAACCAGCGACGCCGCGUGCGGGAUGAAGGGGCUUAGCCUCGUAAACCGCUGUCAAAGAGGGNNGAGAGGGGCGNUUGUCGUCCGGGACGGUACCUCUGAAGGAAGGAUCGGCUAACUACGUGCCAGCAGCCGCCGUAAUACGUAGAUCCGAGCGUGUCNGGAAUUACUGGGCGUAAAGGGUGCGUAGGCGGCAAUGUGCGUCAGAGGUGAAAUCCACGGGCUUAACUUGUGGGGUGCCUUGAUACGGCAUAGCUUGAGUACGAGAGAGGUCGAUGGAAUUCCUGGUGUAGCAGUGAAAUGCGUAGAUAUCAGGAGGGACACCGGUGGCGAAGGCGGUCGGCUGGCUCGUAACUGACGCUGAGGCACGAAAGCGUGGGGAUCAAACAGGAUUAGAUACCCUGGUAGUCCACGCCAUAAACGAUGUAUGCUUGGUGUUGGGUGAGUAAUCACUCAGUGCCGAAGGCAACCUGAUAAGCAUACCGCCUGGGGAGUACGAUCGCAAGGUUGAAACUCAAAGGAAUUGACGGGGGCCCGCACAAGCGGUGGAUCAUGUGGUUUAAUUCGAUGCAACGCGAAGAACCUUACCCGGGCUUGAAGAGCAGGUAGUAAAGAGAUGAAAGUCGAAUGAGCCGUAAAGUCGGUUGCCUGUAGAGGUGCUGCAUGGCUGUCGUCAGCUCGUGCCGUGAGGUGUUGGGUUAAGUCCCGCAACGAGCGCAACCCCUAUCCUUAGUUGCCAGCACGUAAAGGUGGGAACUCUAGGGAGACUGCCUACGCAAGUAGAGAGGAAGGCGGGGAUGACGUCAAGUCAUCAUGGCCCUUACGUCCGGGGCUACACACGUGAUACAAUGGUCGGAGCAGAAGGCAAAGGCGCAAGCCGGAGGCAAUCCCUAAACCCGAUCUCAGUUCGGAUUGGAGUCUGCAACUCGACUCCAUGAAGGUGGAAUCGCUAGUAAUCGUGGAUCAGCACGCCACGGUGAAUACGUUCCCGGGCCUUGUACACACCGCCCGUCAAGCCAUGGAAGCCGGGGGUGCCCGAAGCCGGUAGCAAUACCGUCGAAGGCGAAAUCGGUGACUGGGGCUAA
RNAcentral lists this ribosomal RNA (1427 nucleotides) under uncultured bacterium. RNAcentral's name for it is "bacterial SSU rRNA". It matches the Rfam family "Bacterial small subunit ribosomal RNA". The record is from RNAcentral.